GGUUCUAUAGUUUAACAGGUAAAACAACUGGCUGUUAACCGGCAGAUAGGAGUUCGAAUCUUCUUAGAACCG
RNAcentral lists this transfer RNA (72 nucleotides) under Methanobrevibacter ruminantium M1. Its description in RNAcentral is "tRNA-Asn (GTT) (tRNA-Asn-GTT-2-1)". It matches the Rfam family "tRNA". Rfam says of the family: Transfer RNA (tRNA) molecules are approximately 80 nucleotides in length. Their secondary structure includes four short double-helical elements and three loops (D, anti-codon, and T loops). Lineage: Archaea; Methanobacteriati; Methanobacteriota; Methanobacteria; Methanobacteriales; Methanobacteriaceae. The record is from Rfam by way of RNAcentral.